Molecule: ribosomal RNA, 492 nt
Filed under: uncultured bacterium
Lineage: Bacteria
Description: partial 16S ribosomal RNA
Rfam family: Bacterial small subunit ribosomal RNA
Source: RNAcentral
AGUGAACGCUGGCGGUAGGCCUAACACAUGCAAGUCGAACGGCAGCACAGUAAGAGCUUGCUCUUACGGGUGGCGAGUGGCGGACGGGUGAGGAAUACAUCGGAAUCUACUUUUUCGUGGGGGAUAACGUAGGGAAACUUACGCUAAUACCGCAUACGACCUACGGGUGAAAGCAGGGGAUCUUCGGACCUUGCGCGAUUGAAUGAGCCGAUGUCGGAUUAGCUAGUUGGCGGGGUAAAGGCCCACCAAGGCGACGAUCCGUAGCUGGUCUGAGAGGAUGAUCAGCCACACUGGAACUGAGACACGGUCCAGACUCCUACGGGAGGCAGCAGUGGGGAAUAUUGCGCAAUGGGCGCAAACCUGAUCCAGCCAUACCGCGUCAGUGAAGAAGGCCUUCGGGUUGUAAAGCCCUUUUGUUGGGAAAGAAAAGCAGCAGGUUAAUACCCCGCUGUUCUGACGGUACCCAAAGAAUAAGCACCGGCUAACUUCGUG